Molecule: ribosomal RNA, 482 nt
Filed under: uncultured bacterium
Lineage: Bacteria
Description: partial 16S ribosomal RNA
Rfam family: Bacterial small subunit ribosomal RNA
Source: RNAcentral
AUUGAACGCUGGCGGCAUGCCUUACACAUGCAAGUCGAACGGUAACAGGUCUUCGGAUGCUGACGAGUGGCGAACGGGUGAGUAAUACAUCGGAACGUGCCCGAUCGUGGGGGAUAACGAGGCGAAAGCUUUGCUAAUACCGCAUACGAUCUACGGAUGAAAGCGGGGGAUCUUCGGACCUCGCGCGGACGGAGCGGCCGAUGGCAGAUUAGGUAGUUGGUGGGAUAAAAGCUUACCAAGCCGACGAUCUGUAGCUGGUCUGAGAGGAUGAUCAGCCACACUGGGACUGAGACACGGCCCAGACUCCUACGGGAGGCAGCAGUGGGGAAUUUUGGACAAUGGGCGAAAGCCUGAUCCAGCCAUGCCGCGUGCAGGAUGAAGGCCUUCGGGUUGUAAACUGCUUUUGUACGGAACGAAAAGCCUCUUUCUAAUAAAGAGGGGUCAUGACGGUACCGUAAGAAUAAGCACCGGCUAGCUACGUG